GAUGAACGCUGGCGGCGUGCCUAAUACAUGCAAGUCGAGCGAACAGAUGAGGAGCUUGCUCCUCUGACGUUAGCGGCGGACGGGUGAGUAACACGUGGAUAACCUACCUAUAAGACUGGGAUAACUUCGGGAAACCGGAGCUAAUACCGGAUAAUAUAUUGAACCGCAUGGUUCAAUAGUGAAAGACGGUUUUGCUGUCACUUAUAGAUGGAUCCGCGCCGCAUUAGCUAGUUGGUAAGGUAACGGCUUACCAAGGCAACGAUGCGUAGCCGACCUGAGAGGGUGAUCGGCCACACUGGAACUGAGACACGGUCCAGACUCCUACGGGAGGCAGCAGUAGGGAAUCUGCCGCAAUGGGCGAAAGCCUGACGGAGCAACGCCGCGUGAGUGAUGAAGGUCUUCGGAUCGUAAAACUCUGUUAUGAGGGAAGAACAAAUGUGUAAGUAACUAUGCACGUCUUGACGGUACCUAAUCAGAAAGCCACGGCUAACUACGUG
Molecule: ribosomal RNA, 497 nt
Filed under: uncultured bacterium
Lineage: Bacteria
Description: partial 16S ribosomal RNA
Rfam family: Bacterial small subunit ribosomal RNA
Source: RNAcentral